GGUGUUUAUUCUCAGAAGAGGUCAAUAGAUGUUAUGAAACACUUGCAGCUGGGGGAAGAGAUUCCAAAACAUGUGGCAAGCAGCACGGCUCUCUCUGCCUGUUGGUAUCACGGGGCAGGACAAGGCAUCCAUCCUCCUGGCUGUGACACUGUAGGAUAGGUAUGCAAGAUGAUACCACGCGGGGAAACUGGGCGAAGAGUACCUCGGCUCUCUCUACAGUACUUCUUACAAUUGCAUGGGAAUCUUCCAUUAUCUCAAAGUAAAAGGUUUAAUUUAAGAAAAACUGCACAGGCAGUGGGUGUACGGUUCAUCCCAGUCCCUUCCCUGCCACCUGUGCAUCUCUUGCUCCAUCUUCAAGUUCUUAGGAAAAAGAGAGCGUUGUUAGGAGUGUAGGAGAGGCUGGACCCCUUCAACCCCUGUGUCUCUGGCUCAUCGGUUAGCCAUGCUGGUUGGAGAGAACUGUCUUGCAGGGAUGGCUGCACCUGAGGCCGUGUUUUUGACCUGGCAUCCUCCCCUUCCCAAGGUAACCUGCUGAUGAGGACUCAUUGCCAGCGGGCACGAAUGCUGUACAAACAACACCUGUUCUCACAUCUUAAAAAAGGAUCACAGAAGUUUGAGACGCAGCCACCUAGAUGGGAGACACACUGACAGCAUGAUCCCAGCACUCCCAGAGAAAAGAAAAGACCCCAAAUGUGGAAUAUUCGUAUUUCCUGUGGGGAUUGUGAAGGGAGAUCUUGGAAUGUGAAAGCAGCCCAUUGUUCAAGCUCAGCACAGAUCCCAGUGAGGAUCUGCAUACAGUAGCAACUCAAUAAACAUUGCAUUUGAAUGAAUGAAUGAAUGAAUGAAUGAAUGAAUGCUGGAUCCCACAAAGCUGUCUUUAAAUGCAUCUCUAAAAAGAGGCUAGAAAGAAAAGUCUUUCACAGUUCAGAGGCCAUUGUAUCUUACUGUUUCCCCAUAACUUGGGCCUUUGUGAUCCGACAGAACUUUUAGGUCAAUGCUUGCAGUCAAGAGGAAGGUGAGUACCACCUCCUCACUGAGGAUACCUUUUUACAAUUGGAGGGGUGGCUUCAAUAGGCAUCCAGUCUGGUACCCAUUGUCACUAAGGAUGCCUCAAUCUUAAUUGCAUAAAAAAGAAAACAGCUGUGUUUGCAGUCAUCUCCCAAAAUGCAAAUGCUCAAUUCUAAAUAAAUGCUUUCACAGGUUAAGUUGUGCAGUCUUGGGGCUACAUCUCACAACUAACCCCUCCCAGCAGAUCCUGAGGGACCUUGGGGGUCAGGAACAGAUAGGCAUCCGUCUCUUUCUCUGGGGUUCCUCCAGAGCUGAGGCUGGUCACAUGUGGUACCUGCUCCCCAUUUUUUUAGGAUAAAAUGCUCUGUCUGAGACUGUUAAAAAAACAGUUAACAAACUGUUAAAAAAAACAAAAAACAAAAAACUAGACAGCAGAUGAUGAUUGACCAUCCUUCAAAUUCCCAUCAACAUUUGCUAUCACAGGACAUCAGGAAUAUUGGUUAAUGGUUGGUCAGGCCCCUAGAGAGAUGGCCACCAAUUAAAGCAAAAGCAGUGACAUAAAGAAAUUCAACUCAUAUUAUGACCUGUAAGUAGGGUGAAUUAUUACUAACCUACCCUUCAAGUCACCAUUCACUGGUUUUGGGGAAAAAUAAUUCAAUGUUCAUUCUAUUUUAAUAAUCAAUUCCAUCUGAUAAUUUCA
This 1708-nucleotide long non-coding RNA is filed under the name Homo sapiens (human). RNAcentral describes it as "HSALNT0049271". Lineage: Eukaryota; Metazoa; Chordata; Mammalia; Primates; Hominidae. The record is from RNAcentral.